UACUGUAAGAUAAGCACCGGCUAAUUCCGUGCCAGCAGCCGCGGUAAUACGGAAGGUGCAAGCGUUAUCCGGUUUUAUUGGGUUUAAAGGGUGCGUAGGCGGCUUAUUAAGUCAGUUGUGAAAUCCUAGUGCUUAACGCUAGAACUGCAAUUGAUACUAUUAGGCUUGAGUUAAGAAUAGGUAAGUAGAAUUUAUGGUGUAGUAGUGAAAUGCUUAGAUAUCAUAAGGAAUACCAAUAGCGUAGGCAGCUUACUGGUCUUUAACUGACGCUGAGGCACGAAAGCGUGGGGAGCAACCAGGAUUAGAUACCCUGGUAGUCCACGCCGUAAACGAUGAUCACUCGGUAUACAUG
RNAcentral lists this ribosomal RNA (352 nucleotides) under Cardinium endosymbiont of Bemisia tabaci. RNAcentral's name for it is "bacterial SSU rRNA". It matches the Rfam family "Bacterial small subunit ribosomal RNA", at positions 476 to 828 of the family's 1533-position model. Lineage: Bacteria; Pseudomonadati; Bacteroidota; Cytophagia; Cytophagales; Amoebophilaceae. The record is from RNAcentral.